CGGGAAUACUAACGCGCGCGCACGCAGGAAGAGCGGGAUUUUAAAGGGUCAGGCCGGGACGUGUUCCGGUGCAACAUCACCGCCAGAGGAGGACUUUCACGCACUUUGGACCAAAGGCAUUCAUCCGUGGAUAUUUAUUUUCUUUUGUGUGUGUGUUUAUUUGACUACUUUUCAUUUAGCGUGGACAUUUUAGCAGACAUAUUACACUUUAAUGCCAGCAUGUGUGCAGGAGUUGUAUUAAAAAUGCUUUUUUUUUUUGAGGGGAUAUAAAACGGGUUUUAUGGAA
Entelurus aequoreus (snake pipefish) is the source of this 286-nucleotide long non-coding RNA. RefSeq lists it as uncharacterized. The record is from RefSeq and is a predicted model, not a curated record. NCBI's taxonomy places the organism in Eukaryota, Metazoa, Chordata, Actinopteri, Syngnathiformes, Syngnathidae. The transcript has 2 exons.